This 482-nucleotide ribosomal RNA is filed under the name uncultured bacterium. RNAcentral's name for it is "partial 16S ribosomal RNA". It matches the Rfam family "Bacterial small subunit ribosomal RNA", at positions 30 to 507 of the family's 1533-position model. The record is from RNAcentral.
AUUGAACGCUGGCGGCAUGCUUUACACAUGCAAGUCGAACGGUAACAGGCCGCAAGGUGCUGACGAGUGGCGAACGGGUGAGUAAUGCAUCGGAACGUGCCCAGUCGUGGGGGAUAACUACUCGAAGGAGUAGCUAAUACCGCAUACGAUCUAUGGAUGAAAGCGGGGGACCGUAAGGCCUCGCGCGAUUGGAGCGGCCGAUGUCAGAUUAGGUAGUUGGUGGGGUAAAGGCUCACCAAGCCAACGAUCUGUAGCUGGUCUGAGAGGACGACCAGCCACACUGGGACUGAAACACGGCCCAGACUCCUACGGGAGGCAGCAGUGGGGAAUUUUGGACAAUGGGCGCAAGCCUGAUCCAGCAAUGCCGCGUGCAGGAAGAAGGCCUUCGGGUUGUAAACUGCUUUUGUACGGAACGAAACGGCUCUGGUUAAUACCCGGGGCUAAUGACGGUACCGUAAGAAUAAGCACCGGCUAACUACGUG